UGAUGCUUUGCGCGGCAGUACGGUGGCCGGUUGACAUUUAGGAUGUCGUUUAAACGGGACGGAGACGAUGGCAGUCAGCUGAACGUGUUAAAAAAAAGGAGGGUCGCCGACCUACUGGCCGGUUUCAUCCCCGAGGACGAGGCGCUGCUCCUUAAUAAUGGAAGGUACGCCUGCACCGUGUGUCACCACAGGCCGGUCUUCAAUACCAUCGAUAUGCUG
This is a long non-coding RNA of Bufo bufo (common toad), 219 nucleotides long. RefSeq lists it as uncharacterized. The transcript has 3 exons. The record is from RefSeq and is a predicted model, not a curated record. NCBI's taxonomy places the organism in Eukaryota, Metazoa, Chordata, Amphibia, Anura, Bufonidae.